This 1342-nucleotide ribosomal RNA is filed under the name Graphium penicillioides. Its description in RNAcentral is "SSU rRNA". It matches the Rfam family "Eukaryotic small subunit ribosomal RNA", at positions 24 to 1378 of the family's 1831-position model. Lineage: Eukaryota; Fungi; Ascomycota; Sordariomycetes; Microascales; Graphiaceae. The record is from RNAcentral.
UUAUAUGCUUGUCUCAAAGAUUAAGCCAUGCAUGUCUAAGUAUAAGCAAUUAUACCGCGAAACUGCGAAUGGCUCAUUAUAUAAGUUAUAGUUUAUUUGAUAGCACCUUACUACAUGGAUAACUGUGGUAAUUCUAGAGCUAAAACAUGCUAAAAAUCCCGACUUCGGAAGGGAUGUGUUUAUUAGAUUAAAAACCAAUGCCCUUCGGGGCUCCUUGGUGAUUCAUGAUAACCGCUCGAAUCGCACGGCCUUGCGCCGGCGAUGGUUCAUUCAAAUUUCUUCCCUAUCAACUUUCGAUGCGAAGGUCUUGUCUUCGCAUGGUUACAACGGGUAACGGAGGGUUAGGGCUCGACCCCGGAGAAGGAGCCUGAGAAACGGCUACUACAUCCAAGGAAGGCAGCAGGCGCGCAAAUUACCCAAUCCCGACACGGGGAGGUAGUGACAAUAAAUACUGAUACAGGGCUCUUUUGGGUCUUGUAAUCGGAAUGAGUACAAUUUAAAUCCCUUAACGNGGAACAAUUGGAGGGCAAGUCUGGUGCCAGCAGCCGCGGUAAUUCCAGCUCCAAUAGCGUAUAUUAAAGUUGUUGUGGUUAAAAAGCUCGUAGUUGAACCUUGGGCCUGGCUGGCCGGUCCCCCUCACCGGGUGCACUGGUCCGGCCGGGCCUUUCCCUCUGUGGAACCGCAUGCCCUUCACUGGGUGUGCCGGGGAAACAGGACUUUUACUUUGAAAAAAUUAGAGUGCUCCAGGCAGGCCUAUGCUCGAAUACAUUAGCAUGGAAUAAUGGAAUAGGACGUGUGGUUCUAUUUUGUUGGUUUCUAGGACCGCCGUAAUGAUUAAUAGGGACAGUCGGGGGCAUCAGUAUUCAAUUGUCAGAGGUGAAAUUCUUGGAUCUAUUGAAGACUAACUACUGCGAAAGCAUUUGCCAAGGAUGUUUUCAUUGAUAAGGAACGAAAGUUAGGGGAUCGAAGACGAUCAGAUACCGUCGUAGUCUUAACUAUAAACUAUGCCGACUAGGGAUCGGACGGUGUUUAUACUUGACCCGUUCGGCACCUUUCGAGAAAUCAAAGUGCUUGGGCUCCAGGGGGAGUAUGGUCGCAAGGCUGAAACUUAAAGNNAUUGACGGAAGGGCACCACCAGGGGUGAGCCUGCNGCUUAAUUUGACUCAACACGGGGAAACUCACCAGGUCCAGACACAAUGAGGAUUGACAGAUUGAGAGCUCUUUCUUGAUUUUGUGGGUGGUGGUGCAUGGCCGUUCUUAGUUGGUGGAGUGAUUUGUCAGCUUAAUUGCGAUAACGAACGAGACCUUCUUCUGCUAAAUAGCCCGAACUGCUUUGGCAGUC